UACGUAGGGGGCGAGCGUUGUCCGGAGUUACUGGGCGUAAAGGGCGCGCAGGCGGUCUGCUAAGUUCGGAGUGACAGUCACCAGCUUAACUGGUGAAGGACUUUGAAAACUGGCGGACUUGAGAGCGAGAGAGGGACACGGAAUUCCGGGUGGAGCAGUGAAAUGCGUAGAGAUCCGGAGGAACACCAAGGCGAAGGCAGUGUCCUGGUUCGUUUCUGACGCUGAGGCGCGAAAGCCAGGGGAGCGAACGGG
This 252-nucleotide ribosomal RNA is filed under the name uncultured Ktedonobacter sp. Its description in RNAcentral is "partial 16S ribosomal RNA". It matches the Rfam family "Bacterial small subunit ribosomal RNA", at positions 524 to 776 of the family's 1533-position model. Lineage: Bacteria; Bacillati; Chloroflexota; Ktedonobacteria; Ktedonobacterales; Ktedonobacteraceae. The record is from RNAcentral.